RNAcentral lists this ribosomal RNA (497 nucleotides) under uncultured bacterium. Its description in RNAcentral is "partial 16S ribosomal RNA". It matches the Rfam family "Bacterial small subunit ribosomal RNA", at positions 28 to 507 of the family's 1533-position model. The record is from RNAcentral.
GAUGAACGCUGGCGGCGUGCCUAAUACAUGCAAGUCGAGCGAACAGACGAGGAGCUUGCUCCUCUGACGUUAGCGGCGGACGGGUGAGUAACACGUGGAUAACCUACCUAUAAGACUGGGAUAACUUCGGGAAACCGGAGCUAAUACCGGAUAAUAUAUUGAACCGCAGGGUUCAAUAGUGAAAGACGGUUUUGCUGUCACUUAUAGAUAGAUCCGCGCCGCAUUAGCUAGUUGGUAAGGUAACGGCUUACCAAGGCAACGAUGCGUAGCCGACCUGAGAGGGUGAUCGGCCACACUGGAACUGAGACACGGUCCAGACUCCUACGGGAGGCAGCAGUAGGGAAUCUUCCGCAAUGGGCGAAAGCCUGACGGAGCAACGCCGCGUGAGUGAUGAAGGUCUUCGGAUCGUAAAACUCUGUUAUUAGGGAAGAACGAAUGUGUAAGUAACUAUGCACGUCUUGACGGUACCUAAUCAGAAAGCAACGGCUAACUACGUG